RNAcentral lists this ribosomal RNA (305 nucleotides) under uncultured bacterium. RNAcentral describes it as "bacterial SSU rRNA". It matches the Rfam family "Bacterial small subunit ribosomal RNA", at positions 337 to 640 of the family's 1533-position model. The record is from RNAcentral.
GCCUACGGGGCGCAGCAGUGAGGAAUAUUGGUCAAUGGACGAGAGUCUGAACCAGCCAAGUAGCGUGAAGGAUGACUGCCCUAUGGGUUGUAAACUUCUUUUAUAUGGGAAUAAAACGUUCCACGUGUGGGAUUUUGUAUGUACCAUAUGAAUAAGGAUCGGCUAACUCCGUGCCAGCAGCCGCGGUAAUACGGAGGAUCCGAGCGUUAUCCGGAUUUAUUGGGUUUAAAGGGUGCGUAGGCGGACUGUUAAGUCAGCGGUAAAAGCCCGGGGCUCAACCCCGGCGAGCCGUUGAAACUGGCGGU